UGAUGUUUAGCCGGGUCGAGAGACUGAACGGCCACAUUGGGACUGAGAUACGGCCCAAACUCCUACGGGAGGCAGCAGUAGGGAAUAUUCCACAAUGAGCGAAAGCUUGAUGGAGCGACACAGCGUGCACGAUGAAGGUCUUCGGAUUGUAAAGUGCUGUUAUAAGGGAAGAACAUUUGCAAUAGGAAAUGAUUGCAGACUGACGGUACCUUGUCAGAAAGCGAUGGCUAACUAUGUGCCAGCAGCCGCGGUAAUACAUAGGUCGCAAGCGUUAUCCGGAAUUAUUGGGCGUAAAGCGUUCGUAGGCUGUUUGUUAAGUCUGGAGU
RNAcentral lists this ribosomal RNA (326 nucleotides) under Metamycoplasma hominis. RNAcentral's name for it is "bacterial SSU rRNA". It matches the Rfam family "Bacterial small subunit ribosomal RNA", at positions 277 to 595 of the family's 1533-position model. Lineage: Bacteria; Bacillati; Mycoplasmatota; Mycoplasmoidales; Metamycoplasmataceae. The record is from RNAcentral.